RNAcentral lists this ribosomal RNA (423 nucleotides) under uncultured bacterium. RNAcentral's name for it is "bacterial SSU rRNA". It matches the Rfam family "Bacterial small subunit ribosomal RNA", at positions 39 to 485 of the family's 1533-position model. The record is from RNAcentral.
GGCCGCGGGAAUUCGAUUCAGGCCUAACACAUGCAAGUCGUACGAGAGUUUUUAACUCUAGUGGCGGACGGGUGAGUAACACGUGAGAAUUUGCCUUUAGGAGGGGGAUAACAAUUGGAAACGAAUGCUAAUACCCCAUAUGCUUCCGAGUGAAAUGGAUUUUAUCCGCCUAGAGAGAAGCUCGCGGCUGAUUAGCUUGUUGGUAAGGUAAGAGCUUACCAAGGCGACGAUCCAGUAUCUGGUUUGAGAGGACGAUCAGACACACUGGAACUGAGACACGGUCCAGACUCCUACGGGAGGCAGCAGUGGGGAAUUUUCCGCAAUGGGCGAAAGCCUGACGGAGCAAUACCGCGUGAGGGAAGAAUGCCUAUGGGUUGUAAACCUCUUUUUUCAGGGAGGAAUAAUAUGACGUGUACCUGAAGA